AGUGAACGCUGGCGGUAGGCCUAACACAUGCAAGUCGAACGGCAACACAGUAAGAGCUUGCUCUUACGGGUGGCGAGUGGCGGACGGGUGCGGAAUACAUCGGAAUCUACUUUUUAGUGGGGGAUAACGUAGGGAAACUUACGCUAAUACCGCAUACGACAUACGGGUGAAAGCAGGGGAUCUUCGGACCUUGCGCGAUUGAAUGAGCCGAUGUCGGGUUAGCUAGUUGGCGGGGUAAAGGCCUACCAAGGCGACGAUCCGUAGCUGGUCUGAGAGGACGACCAGCCACACUGGGACUGAGACACGGCCCAGACUCCUACGGGAGGCAGCAGUGGGGAAUUUUGGACAAUGGGCGCAAGCCUGAUCCAGCAAUGCCGCGUGCGGGAAGAAGGCCUUCGGGUUGUAAAACGCUUUUGGCAGGAACGAAACGGUGUCCGCUAAUACCGGGCGCUAAUGACGGUACCUGCAGAAUAAGCACCGGCUAACUACGUG
Molecule: ribosomal RNA, 492 nt
Filed under: uncultured bacterium
Lineage: Bacteria
Description: partial 16S ribosomal RNA
Rfam family: Bacterial small subunit ribosomal RNA
Source: RNAcentral